RNAcentral lists this ribosomal RNA (465 nucleotides) under Vreelandella stevensii. RNAcentral describes it as "partial 16S ribosomal RNA". It matches the Rfam family "Bacterial small subunit ribosomal RNA", at positions 338 to 795 of the family's 1533-position model. Lineage: Bacteria; Pseudomonadati; Pseudomonadota; Gammaproteobacteria; Oceanospirillales; Halomonadaceae. The record is from RNAcentral.
CCUACGGGUGGUAGCAGUGGGGAAUAUUGGACAAUGGGGGCAACCCUGAUCCAGCCAUGCCGCGUGUGUGAAGAAGGCCCUCGGGUUGUAAAGCACUUUCAGUGAGGAAGAACGCCUGGUGGUUAAUACCCAUCAGGAAAGACAUCACUCACAGAAGAAGCACCGGCUAACUCCGUGCCAGCAGCCGCGGUAAUACGGAGGGUGCGAGCGUUAAUCGGAAUUACUGGGCGUAAAGCGCGCGUAGGUGGCUUGAUAAGCCGGUUGUGAAAGCCCCGGGCUCAACCUGGGAACGGCAUCCGGAACUGUCAAGCUAGAGUGCAGGAGAGGAAGGUAGAAUUCCCGGUGUAGCGGUGAAAUGCGUAGAGAUCGGGAGGAAUACCAGUGGCGAAGGCGGCCUUCUGGACUGACACUGACACUGAGGUGCGAAAGCGUGGGUAGCAAACAGGAUUAGAUACCCUAGUAGUC